This 448-nucleotide ribosomal RNA is filed under the name uncultured bacterium. RNAcentral's name for it is "bacterial SSU rRNA". It matches the Rfam family "Bacterial small subunit ribosomal RNA", at positions 331 to 794 of the family's 1533-position model. The record is from RNAcentral.
CCAGACUCCUACGGGAGGCAGCAGUGGGGAAUAUUGCACAAUGGGGGAAACCCUGAUGCAGCAACGCCGCGUGAGUGAAGAAGUAUUUCGGUAUGUAAAGCUCUAUCAGCAGGGAAGAAGAAAUGACGGUACCUGACUAAGAAGCCCCGGCUAACUACGUGCCAGCAGCCGCGGUAAUACGUAGGGGGCAAGCGUUAUCCGGAUUUACUGGGUGUAAAGGGAGCGUAGACGGUGCAGCAAGUCUGGAGUGAAAGGCAGGGGCCCAACCCCUGGACUGCAUUGGAAACUGCCGGGCUGGAGUGUCGGAGGGGUAAGCGGAACUCCUAGUGUAGCGGUGAAAUGCGUAGAUAUUAGGAGGAACACCAGUGGCGAAGGCGGCUUACUGGACGAUGACUGACGCUGAGGCUCGAAAGCGUGGGGAGCAAACAGGAUUAGAUACCCUGGUAUA